RNAcentral lists this ribosomal RNA (253 nucleotides) under uncultured bacterium. RNAcentral's name for it is "partial 16S ribosomal RNA". It matches the Rfam family "Bacterial small subunit ribosomal RNA", at positions 524 to 776 of the family's 1533-position model. The record is from RNAcentral.
UACAGAGGGUGCAAGCGUUGCUCGGAAUUAUUGGGCGUAAAGGGCAAGUAGGUGGUCUCAUUUGUCAGGGGUGAAAUCCUGGAGCUCAACUCCAGAACUGCCUUUGAUACUGAAGAUCUUGAGUUCGGGAGAGGUGAGUGGAACUGCGAGUGUAGAGGUGAAAUUCGUAGAUAUUCGCAAGAACACCAGUGGCGAAGGCGGCUCACUGGCCCGAUACUGACGCUGAGGCACGAAAGCGUGGGGAGCAAACAGG